AUGAUAUGCGGCUGGCUGGGUUACUUGGAGACUUGGAGUGGCAUACUGAAGGAAGGCCUGAAGCACGGUGAUGGUCACAUUCAGAAAGACGGUGAGAGUGGUCUGGUUGCUAAUUGCUACAUUGAAUUCCCAUUAUUUACUUUUCACAAUUAUCAAGACAUAAUCUCUCUGUUUGGGCAUCUGGAGUGUGGAUUAUUUCUUCUGAAUACUCUUCUAGAUAGAGAUGUAAUAUUCAUUCUGGCUUUGCUCACUCGAGAAUUAAGACCGGGGCGUCGUAUGGACAAAAUUUUCGCUGAACAUGUUUGA
RNAcentral lists this ribosomal RNA (306 nucleotides) under Triticum aestivum (bread wheat). RNAcentral describes it as "partial small subunit ribosomal RNA". Lineage: Eukaryota; Viridiplantae; Streptophyta; Magnoliopsida; Poales; Poaceae. The record is from RNAcentral.